UACGUAGGGGGCAAGCGUUAUCCGGAUUUACUGGGUGUAAAGGGUGCGUAGGUGGUAUGGUAAGUCAGAAGUGAAAACCCGGGGCUCAACCCCGAGGAUUGCUUUUGAAACUAUCAGACUAGAGUACCGGAGAGGUAAGCGGAAUUCCUAGUGUAGCGGUGAAAUGCGUAGAUAUUAGGAGGAACACCAGUGGCGAAGGCGGCUUACUGGACGGUAACUGACACUGAGGCACGAAAGCGUGGGGAGCAAACAGG
Molecule: ribosomal RNA, 254 nt
Filed under: uncultured bacterium
Lineage: Bacteria
Description: partial 16S ribosomal RNA
Rfam family: Bacterial small subunit ribosomal RNA
Source: RNAcentral